CCAUGUAUCACUUUCCCUUGCCUCCCAUGAUCUAUCUAUAUAAAGGUCAAAGCAUGCAUGUUUGUCUGUCUGUCUACCUGUUUGUAUUACAUUUUUUGUUUUAGGAGCAACUUGAGAAACUACAAGUCAUUCCUGGUGUGAGAGAAUUGGUGGUCUGCAAGGACAUUGCCCAGCAGACGCCCGGGGAUUUUACCAUCCUGUGGGAGGCUUCUCUCAUGUUCUCGCAUGGGAAGCUGAAGCUGACAGAUGGGACUUACCCCGCGCCCCGGAUUCAAACUGCUGACCUUUUGGUCAGCAGUCCUUAUGGCACAAGAGUUUAACCCAUUGCACUACGAGGCUCCUACUCUGUAUUACAUAGGCUGUUGCUAGAUGAAGUGGCCCUCUGUGAUGUCACUGGGAAGAAGUGACCUGUGUAUCAGGGGAAGGGAAGGAGGGACAAAGGAAAAAGCCACACAAAAAGCCAUAUUGGUAUGGAGACUUUGCAAGGUAAAUGGAGGAACCCGAAGAAGCCCCAAAUACAUGAAGCCACCUAUUCACAAUUUACCUGGCUAACUCAAAACACGGGGAAAAUCUUGGUUACAGUCCAAUGAGAGAUUAAAAACCAAAACAAAAUCACUCUUCA
Anolis carolinensis (green anole) is the source of this 622-nucleotide long non-coding RNA. RefSeq lists it as uncharacterized. The transcript is spliced from 2 exons. NCBI's taxonomy places the organism in Eukaryota, Metazoa, Chordata, Lepidosauria, Squamata, Anolidae. The record is from RefSeq and is a predicted model, not a curated record.